Molecule: ribosomal RNA, 514 nt
Filed under: uncultured bacterium
Lineage: Bacteria
Description: partial 16S ribosomal RNA
Rfam family: Bacterial small subunit ribosomal RNA
Source: RNAcentral
GAUGAACGCUGGCGGCGUGCCUAAUACAUGCAAGUCGAGCGAACAGAUGAGAAGCUUGCUUCUCUGAUGUUAGCGGCGGACGGGUGAGUAACACGUGGGUAACCUACCUAUAAGACUGGGAUAACUCCGGGAAACCGGGGCUAAUACCGGAUAAUAUUUUGAACCGCAUGGUUCAAUAGUGAAAGACGGUUUCGGCUGUCACUUAUAGAUGGACCCGCGCCGUAUUAGCUAGUUGGUAAGGUAACGGCUUACCAAGGCGACGAUACGUAGCCGACCUGAGGGGGUGAUCGGCCACACUGGAACUGAGACACGGUCCAGACUCCUACGUGAGGCAGCAGUAGGGAAUCUUCCGCAAUGGGCGAAAGCCUGACGGAGCAACGCCGCGUGAGUGAUGAAGAUCGUCGGAUCGUAAAUCUCUGUUGUUGGGGAAGAACAAAUUUGUUAGUAACUGAACAAGUCUUGACGGUACCUAACCAGAAAGCCACGGCUAACUACGUGCCAGCAGCCGCCGCGG